Molecule: long non-coding RNA, 1312 nt
Filed under: Phascolarctos cinereus (koala)
Lineage: Eukaryota; Metazoa; Chordata; Mammalia; Diprotodontia; Phascolarctidae
Description: lncRNA (ENSPCIG00000031163.1)
Source: RNAcentral
CCUAAAUAUGACCCAGACCAAUCUCUUUCUUCUUCAUAAUGUGAGGUAGUGAUAGGAAUUAUUGAAUUACACAAGAAGCUCUGGCUGAGACAAGACAUCAAAGGCACAUAUAUUGGUUAAGAUCAGUAAGAUUGUCUGAAACCAUGUGUCAGAGAAAAUUCUCUUGGGAUAAGAAAAUGAAGAUUUGAAAUUACUUCCAAGAAUGAAGAGCAUCUGGAAGUCGAGGCAGGACUGGGACCAUCCCCAGAGGAGUGUGGAGCCUGGGAAACCAACCCUGCCACCAGCCUUUUCUCUCUCUUCUUUCCCUUUCCACCCAUUUUUAUUCGGGUAAAAACUGGUUCAAAAGAAAAAAGAGACUGUCUUAGAGGCCUUUUUUUUUUUUUGUAUGUAGCCAGAGGGAUGUGGAAGUGCCUGUGUGUGCUAGGAUUGCAUGUCUGUAAGUUCCUUUGCUGUCUAAGACCAUCUGUCUUCUCUUUGACCCCCUGUUUUCCCCACUCCAGCUCUGCACCUUACCCCAUGGUUGAUCCAACCCCAAGGUUCACCUCUUCUGGGGCAGCAGCUCUUUUUUCUUACGUUACUGGUUACUUCACCAGGAAGGGGUGAAGGGGAAAGUUAAAUGAGGUUUCUAGUCUAGAUGAUCCAGUUAUCACAUUGUGAGUAUGUGAUUGAGUAGGAUUAUUAGAGUAUAAAAUCAAAGUAAAUUCCAAGCCAGUUUUCUAAUAGGUUUUGACAUAGGAAUGGCUCUUUCAAGAACUUUGGCAAUUCUAUAGCAAUGUGAUGAGUACAAUCUGGCCCACUGUCCCUUAACCUGGCUGGUUCCAGCUGCCCCUCAGGGCAGUCAUCAGGGAUGACUUUUUCUCUCUUUGCCCUCUGAUUUGUGUUCCUUCUGGUUGUGUUUCCUCCAUUUAUUAGGGGAUCAGUGAUUAGCACCGCAAAAUUAUUUAUCCCUGCAACAUCAAUUGACUUUUAUAAAGAGUAUUUACUUCAAAGAGAUAGUAAGAACAAAUGUGUAAGCUUUCCCCCCAAUACUUCCAAUGCUUAUUCUCGCCUAUACCACCUCAGUGUUUGGGGGAGUAGGCUCAAAAUUUUGCUCAGUUCCUACAUAGUAUAGGCCCCACCAAAUUCAAGUUCACUGCAGGUUAAGUUCUUCCAACAGGCUGAGACCCUAAAGGUUACUCGCAAAGGUCACUCCUUGCUCCUCAGGGCACUGCUACUAUGCUGGCUAUAAAACACAGGUUGGAUUCUGAUGCUUAGAUUGCUAUGGCUCUCUCUUCUGACCAAAAAUUGCAAUGAAUGAAAACACCAAGGACCG